Molecule: non-coding RNA, 25 nt
Filed under: Cricetulus griseus (Chinese hamster)
Lineage: Eukaryota; Metazoa; Chordata; Mammalia; Rodentia; Cricetidae
Source: RNAcentral
AAGAUGCGGGAGCUCCUCGAACGAG